This 67-nucleotide transfer RNA is filed under the name Hydromanicus melli. RNAcentral's name for it is "tRNA-Trp". The record is from RNAcentral. Lineage: Eukaryota; Metazoa; Arthropoda; Insecta; Trichoptera; Hydropsychidae.
AAGAUUUUAAGUUAAUAAAACUAUUAAUUUUCAAAAUUAAAUUUAAAGAAUACUUCUUUAAGUCUUA